This is a long non-coding RNA of Mauremys mutica (yellowpond turtle), 715 nucleotides long. RefSeq lists it as uncharacterized. The record is from RefSeq and is a predicted model, not a curated record. The transcript is spliced from 3 exons. NCBI's taxonomy places the organism in Eukaryota, Metazoa, Chordata, Testudines, Geoemydidae.
CUAGAGUGGGAAGGGCUGGCUGCCUGAGAGGAAGUAGGAUGCUUUCCCAUGCCACUCAGCAAUAACUUCAUCAGGCACCAUUGCAGUACACAGGCCUAGGCACUUCAGGACUCCAGCAGCAGCUGUGUUCUCUCUGACUUUGUUACCCUUUGUUACCCUCAAGAGUGAGAUCAGCAGCUGCCAUUGCAGCCUUGAGGGUCGCCCCCUCCUCACCUGUGGAAUGCCUGAGCCAGAUAAGGAUGAGAAAGAAGAGGACUCAGGAUGAUAUGUUCCAGGAGAACCUGCAAGCCAUUGCUGCAUCAGAGAAUGAGCACAGGGCCUAUAGGAUGAAUAUUAUGGAUAGCCUGGAGAAGGACAGAGUGGAGAGGAAAAAGGUGCAGGAAAAGGAGAGGGACAUGCACCAGGACAUAAUGGGGCUUCUCAGGCAGCAAACACAGAUGCUGCAGACUCUGGUGGACUUUCAGGUUCAAUAAUCCUGUGCUCACCUCCCUCAGCAGCCAGUUGAGAACUCAAUAUCGGGAUUUUCCUAUACCUCCUCUCAACAUUCCAUGUGGAGUCAGUGCACUACCCCUAACACUCCACCCUGUAUCACAUCGUCACAUAGAGUUAGCUGUGAAAGCCAUGGUUGGUAUGUGUGCAGCUGAUAUGGAAGUGACUGUUCUUUCCCCUUCAUAAGUUCUGUUCUCUUGUUUUAUUAAGUUUUUAAUCUAUUUGU